GACGAACGCUGGCGGCGUGCUUAACACAUGCAAGUCGAACGGAAAGGCCCUGCUUUUGUGGGGUGCUCGAGUGGCGAACGGGUGAGUAACACGUGAGUAACCUGCCCUUGACUUUGGGAUAACUUCAGGAAACUGGGGCUAAUACCGGAUAGGAGCUCCUGCUGCAUGGUGGGGGUUGGAAAGUUUCGGCGGUUGGGGAUGGACUCGCGGCUUAUCAGCUUGUUGGUGGGGUAGUGGCUUACCAAGGCUUUGACGGGUAGCCGGCCUGAGAGGGUGACCGGCCAAAUUGGGAAUGAGAUACGGCCCAGAAUCCUACGGGAGGCAGCAGUGGGGAAUAUUGCAAAAUGGGCGGAAGCCUGAUGCAGCAACGCCGCGUGCGGGAUGACGGCCUUCGGGGUGUAAACCGCUUUCGCCUGUGACGAAGCGUGAGUGACGGUAAUGGGUAAAGAAGCACCGGCUAACUACGUG
Molecule: ribosomal RNA, 468 nt
Filed under: uncultured bacterium
Lineage: Bacteria
Description: partial 16S ribosomal RNA
Rfam family: Bacterial small subunit ribosomal RNA
Source: RNAcentral